RNAcentral lists this transfer RNA (72 nucleotides) under Camelus ferus (Wild Bactrian camel). It matches the Rfam family "tRNA". From Rfam's summary of the family: Transfer RNA (tRNA) molecules are approximately 80 nucleotides in length. Their secondary structure includes four short double-helical elements and three loops (D, anti-codon, and T loops). Further hydrogen bonds mediate the characteristic L-shaped molecular structure. tRNAs have two regions of fundamental functional importance: the anti-codon, which is responsible for specific mRNA codon recognition, and the 3' end, to which the tRNAs corresponding amino acid is attached (by aminoacyl-tRNA synthetases). tRNAs cope with the degeneracy of the genetic code in two manners: having more than one tRNA (with a specific anti-codon) for a particular amino acid; and 'wobble' base-pairing, i.e. permitting non-standard base-pairing at the 3rd anti-codon position. The record is from Rfam by way of RNAcentral. Lineage: Eukaryota; Metazoa; Chordata; Mammalia; Artiodactyla; Camelidae.
GAGGGUAUAGCUCAAUGGUAGACUGUGUGCUUGGAAUGCAUGAGGUCCUGGUUUCAGUCCCUAGUACCUCCA